GGGGUAGUGGGUUAAGUUCAGCACACAUGCAGCAGCACACCCUGCGGGAAGUGGCGGGGGUGGCGGGUAGACAGUCAGUGACACGCUUUCUUCGUGAGCAUACACAGAAGCAUGGUGUUGCACACGAGAGACUUUGAUCCUGGACAAUCUCAACUAUUCUUCCCAAGAAGAAAUCCCGAUCAAGUACAUUUGUCAUGUGAACAAGUAUAAUAAGAUUUCAAGGUUGUCCUGAGAUGAAAUUAUCUUACCCAAACUACACAUUACAUAAUACUGGAGGUUGUAUUUUUGGUG
This is a long non-coding RNA of Hemicordylus capensis (graceful crag lizard), 291 nucleotides long. RefSeq lists it as uncharacterized. The transcript has 3 exons. Lineage: Eukaryota; Metazoa; Chordata; Lepidosauria; Squamata; Cordylidae. The record is from RefSeq and is a predicted model, not a curated record.